UCCGGUUUGUCACCGGCAGUCUCCUUAGAGUUCCCGACUUUACUCGCUGGCAAAUAAGGACAAGGGUUGCGCUCGUUACGGGACUUAACCCAACAUUUCACAACACGAGCUGACGACAGCCAUGCAGCACCUGUCACUCGGUUCCCGAAGGCACUCCGCCGUCUCCGGCAGAUUCCGAGGAUGUCAAACCCAGGUAAGGUUCUUCGCGUUGCAUCGAAUUAAUCCGCAUGCUCCGCCGCUUGUGCGGGCCCCCGUCAAUUCCUUUGAGUUUUAGCCUUGCGGCCGUACUCCCCAGGCGGGGCGCUUAAUGCGUUAGCUACGGCACGGAUUCCGUGGAAGGAACCCACACCUAGCGCCCACCGUUUACGGCGUGGACUAC
This 379-nucleotide unclassified non-coding RNA is filed under the name uncultured bacterium. RNAcentral's name for it is "contains 16S-23S intergenic spacer region". The record is from RNAcentral.